Non-coding RNA from Camelus ferus (Wild Bactrian camel), 47 nucleotides. The record is from Rfam. NCBI's taxonomy places the organism in Eukaryota, Metazoa, Chordata, Mammalia, Artiodactyla, Camelidae.
GUACAGGAUCUUUUAAGAUCCACCAUCCCUCCCCCAACAAAUGACAU